AACGAACGCUGGCGGCAUGCCUAACACAUGCAAGUCGAACGAGACCUUCGGGUCUAGUGGCGCACGGGUGCGUAACGCGUGGGAACCUGCCUUUAGGUUCGGAAUAACUCAGAGAAAUUUGAGCUAAUACCGGAUGAUGUCUUCGGACCAAAGAUUUAUCGCCUUUAGAUGGGCCCGCGUUGGAUUAGCUAGUUGGUGGGGUAAAGGCCUACCAAGGCGACGAUCCAUAGCUGGUCUGAGAGGAUGAUCAGCCACACUGGGACUGAGACACGGCCCAGACUCCUACGGGAGGCAGCAGUGGGGAAUAUUGGACAAUGGGCGAAAGCCUGAUCCAGCAAUGCCGCGUGAGUGAUGAAGGCCUUAGGGUUGUAAAGCUCUUUUACCCAAGAUGAUAAUGACAGUAUCGGGAGAAUAAGCUCCGGCUAACUCCGUG
This 433-nucleotide ribosomal RNA is filed under the name uncultured bacterium. RNAcentral's name for it is "partial 16S ribosomal RNA". It matches the Rfam family "Bacterial small subunit ribosomal RNA", at positions 29 to 507 of the family's 1533-position model. The record is from RNAcentral.